CGGGGCAUAGCUCAGCUUGGUAGAGCGCUCGCUUUGGGAGCGAGAGGUCGUCAGUUCAAAUCUGGCUGCCCCGA
RNAcentral lists this transfer RNA (74 nucleotides) under Chloroflexota bacterium. Its description in RNAcentral is "Chloroflexi bacterium (bioreactor metagenome) tRNA-Pro". It matches the Rfam family "tRNA". From Rfam's summary of the family: Transfer RNA (tRNA) molecules are approximately 80 nucleotides in length. The record is from RNAcentral. Lineage: Bacteria; Bacillati; Chloroflexota. RNAcentral also lists the same sequence under 3 other names.